UUAGAGCAAAAGGAAAGCUAGAAUUUUUUCUACGGUUUCACGAUUACGCUAAAAACUUUUUUACGUGCGAUGACUUUCAAGUUGAUUAUUCUAAUUAAUAGUUACAUUAAUUGUCAAUUAUUCUCGAUUAAUUACGAUAUACAAAAAAAUUCUCACACACACACACAGAUGUCGCGAGAUUUGAGUAACAGCAUGAAGUUGUCUUGGCGUCCCCUUGCAUUUUUCGGCAACUUCACGAACGUAAUCGGCCAUUAUCGUUGUGAUGUAGUGACAAGGAUCCUCGUUUCGCGUUGUUAUGUAGUUGUUUCAUUAUCCAUUGCAAAGUGCGUCGCGUACGUGACAAGCAUCGGGAGUGUCGAAUCACGCGACAGGGUUGGUCAUCGAGAGGCGCAUAAUUAGCGAUUAACAAUAUUAUUCGACGUUUAUCGCGUCGUUUCGACUCGGAGCACGUCGAAUUCCAUCGGAAUUCUCCGCAUCUUGUUAUUUGCUCGAUUUAAUCAAAUAGGACGAUCACAGGGCCUGGAUAUUAUUAUUUUCUAAUUAAUUGAGGGGUGAUACUAAUUAGAUGUGUUCUUAGUCUUACGAUAUAAUCGAAUUCGGGGUCGACGCGUCGUAAUGCCUCGUGACGUCACGCCUAGUAACGCUUACGGCAAAUUCUUCGAGUGUUUACAUCACGUGUCUACUAGAUGUCGUGCGCGACGACACACUUCGCGUGUGACGUCAUAGGUUCAUUUUGCGCCGAAAAGUCUAUUACGCGCAAACAAUAAGUGUCGGGAGUGUCGAAUUAAGUAACGGGCGAUUACCGUGACAUGUUAAUUAAUGUUUGACAGUGAAUUUUCGAGGUUUUGUAAUCGAUACGUGUGUUGAAUUCUUGGUGUACUUUCCAUCUAUCGAGAAACGCAUCGUUUUUGCUUGAGGAAUUGCCUAAUGGGUCUUCUAAUUAAUUAAGAUUGGCUGACAUCCACGCAAAUAAAUCCAGAGCAAUGGAACGACCUGAUGAGAAAUCGGCGCCAACGAAUUAACUCAUUGCGUGCUGUCCUUCUCCGCAUCUUUAAAUCACAUCGACAUCUUUAAGUCACAAUCUCGUGCGGAGAAUGAAAGUAGGACCAGAAGGAACAACACUCGCCGAUUUACGAGACAAAUUGACC
Camponotus floridanus (Florida carpenter ant) is the source of this 1148-nucleotide long non-coding RNA. RefSeq lists it as uncharacterized. The record is from RefSeq and is a predicted model, not a curated record. Lineage: Eukaryota; Metazoa; Arthropoda; Insecta; Hymenoptera; Formicidae. The transcript has 4 exons.